ACGAACGCUGGCGGCGUGCUUAACACAUGCAAGUCGAACGGUGAAGCGCCUUUCUUUUUGGUGGGUGUGGAUGAGUGGCGAACGGGUGAGUAACACGUGAGUAACCUGCCCCCUUCUUCUGGAUAACCGCAUGAAAGUGUGGCUAAUACGGGAUAUUCUGGGUCUGUCGCAUGAUGGGUCUGGGAAAGAUAUUGUUUCGGUGGGGGAUGGGCUCGCGGCCUAUCAGCUUGUUGGUGGGGUGAUGGCCUACCAAGGCGGUGACGGGUAGCCGGCCUGAGAGGGUGGACGGUCACACUGGGACUGAGACACGGCCCAGACUCCUACGGGAGGCAGCAGUGGGGAAUAUUGCACAAUGGGCGCAAGCCUGAUGCAGCGACGCCGCGUGAGGGAUGGAGGCCUUCGGGUUGUGAACCUCUUUCGCCAGUGAAGCAGGCCUGCCUCGUUUGUGGGUGGGUUGACGGUAGCUGGAUAAGAAGCGCCGGCUAACUACGUG
Molecule: ribosomal RNA, 493 nt
Filed under: uncultured bacterium
Lineage: Bacteria
Description: partial 16S ribosomal RNA
Rfam family: Bacterial small subunit ribosomal RNA
Source: RNAcentral